This is a long non-coding RNA of Aphis gossypii (cotton aphid), 647 nucleotides long. RefSeq lists it as uncharacterized. The record is from RefSeq and is a predicted model, not a curated record. NCBI's taxonomy places the organism in Eukaryota, Metazoa, Arthropoda, Insecta, Hemiptera, Aphididae. The transcript has 4 exons.
CAAGUAACAGAGGGCAGAGUUGAAGAAUUUAAAGAUGUCAUUUGAAGCAGUUAGGAGAAGUAUCGAAGGCAUUGAUCCAUUUAGAAAAAAUAUUUUUGGUGUGUUAUUUAUUUGGAAAUUCACACAAUCAAAAAGAUUCAGUAAUAUUUUCAUUACACAGCAGUAAUUGGACGGAAAUGGACAUGAAGUGUAAAAAACUGAUAUCAUUAACAAUGCAAAUGAAUAAUGCUAACUAUAAAAAGUUAAGAUUCACUAGAACAAAAAUUGUAAACUUGGAAAUGUUUUUUAAGGAAAUCAUCGACAUAUGAUUAACACACGACGUCGCUCAGAUAACGCAAAGCGUGGGAAGAAGCGGAUGCAGGUGACGCUGACCAGCAGGGACCUGCCGGUAUCGCGGGGGUCUCUGGACGAUAUAUAAGGGGAUCCAGAUUAGGGACAUUUCAGACGUGAUCCACCAGAGUUAGAGCGAGCACCUUCACGUCACCCAGAUCAAUAGUUUUGUCAUUUGGACUUAGAAUAUUUUUCACAAGUUUAAUUAUUUAAUUAAUUGGACUUAGAAUAAUUUUUAAUAAAAAACACUUAGAAUAAUUUCAAGAGUCUUCAUUUAUUUUACAACAACCUAUCCGAUACGACAUCAUUCUACUGUU